GCAGUCGAGCGAGCAGAACCAGCAGAUUUACUUCGGUAAUGACGCUGGGGACGCGAGCGGCGGAUGGGUGAGUAACACGUGGGGAACCUGCCCCAUAGUCUGGGAUACCACUUGGAAACAGGUGCUAAUACCGGAUAAGAAAGCAGAUCGCAUGAUCAGCUUAUAAAAGGCGGCGUAAGCUGUCGCUAUGGGAUGGCCCCGCGGUGCAUUAGCUAGUUGGUAAGGUAACGGCUUACCAAGGCGAUGAUGCAUAGCCGAGUUGAGAGACUGAUCGGCCACAUUGGGACUGAGACACGGCCCAAACUCCUACGGGAGGCAGCAGUAGGGAAUCUUCCACAAUGGACGCAAGUCUGAUGGAGCAACGCCGCGUGAGUGAAGAAGGUUUUCGGAUCGUAAAGCUCUGUUGUUGGUGAAGAAGGAUAGAGGUAGUAACUGGCCUUUAUUUGACGGUAAUCAACCAGAAAGUCACGGCUAACUACGUGCCAGCAGCCGCGGUAAUACGUAGGUGGCAAGCGUUGUCCGGAUUUAUUGGGCGUAAAGCGAGCGCAGGCGGAAAAAUAAGUCUGAUGUGAAAGCCCUCGGCUUAACCGAGGAACUGCAUCGGAAACUGUUUUUCUUGAGUGCAGAAGAGGAGAGUGGAACUCCAUGUGUAGCGGUGGAAUGCGU
Molecule: ribosomal RNA, 666 nt
Filed under: Lactobacillus gallinarum
Lineage: Bacteria; Bacillati; Bacillota; Bacilli; Lactobacillales; Lactobacillaceae
Description: bacterial SSU rRNA
Rfam family: Bacterial small subunit ribosomal RNA
Source: RNAcentral